RNAcentral lists this unclassified non-coding RNA (253 nucleotides) under uncultured Halomonadaceae bacterium. RNAcentral describes it as "contains 16S-23S intergenic spacer region". It matches the Rfam family "Bacterial small subunit ribosomal RNA", at positions 524 to 776 of the family's 1533-position model. Lineage: Bacteria; Pseudomonadati; Pseudomonadota; Gammaproteobacteria; Oceanospirillales; Halomonadaceae. The record is from RNAcentral.
UACAGAGGGUGCAAGCGUUAAUCGGAAUUACUAGGCGUAAAGCGCGCGUAGGCGGCUAAGUAAGCCGGUUGUGAAAGCCCCGGGCUCAACCUGGGAAUGGCAUCCGGAACUGUAUAGCUAGAGUGCAGAAGAGGAAGGUAGAAUUCCCGGUGUAGCGGUGAAAUGCGUAGAGAUCGGGAGGAAUACCAGUGGCGAAGGCGGGCUUCUGGUCCGACACUGACGCUGAGGUGCGAAAGCGUGGGUAGCAAACAGG